GGAGGCGUGGCCGAGUGGUUGAUGGCGCUGGUCUUGAAAACCAGUAUAGCCGCAAGGUUAUCGAGGGUUCGAAUCCUUCCGCCUCCG
This 87-nucleotide transfer RNA is filed under the name Elusimicrobiota bacterium. Its description in RNAcentral is "Elusimicrobia bacterium (hydrocarbon metagenome) tRNA-Ser". It matches the Rfam family "tRNA". Rfam says of the family: Transfer RNA (tRNA) molecules are approximately 80 nucleotides in length. Lineage: Bacteria; Pseudomonadati; Elusimicrobiota. The record is from RNAcentral.